Non-coding RNA from Aegilops tauschii subsp. strangulata, 2075 nucleotides. The record is from RefSeq and is a predicted model, not a curated record. NCBI's taxonomy places the organism in Eukaryota, Viridiplantae, Streptophyta, Magnoliopsida, Poales, Poaceae.
GUAUGUGACCGUUUUCAUUAACAAGCACAAUCACCCACUAUCUGUGAAGUGUGGCGAGAAAAAACAGUGGAAAUCACAUAGCGUUAUAAGUCCUUUAGCAAAGGAUUUUAUUCGUAACCUCAGGGAGAACAACAUCAGGUUUGACCAGAUAUACAACAUAUUAGGGUCAGGUCUUGGCUCUUCUCUAGGCGUGCCUUUUAGGAAGCAGACAUUGAGAACUCUGUGUGCAACCAUAGCUCAUGAUUCCAUCGCUGAUGAUAUGGCCAAAACCACUAGUAUACUUCAGGAUAUGAGUGCCACAGAUCCGGACUUCAAAGUUUGUGUGCAAGUAGACGGUGAAAGCAGGGUGAAAACAGUAAUAUGGUGUAAUGGUAAAAAUCGGCUGGAUUAUGCACAUUUCGGUGAUGUGGUUACUUUCGACACCACUUACAGGACCAACCUAUAUAACAUGCCAUUUGGGCUUUUUGUUGGUGUCAAUAACCAUUUCCAGUCUAUUAUUUUUGGCGGCGUCCUCAUGGUUGAUGAAAAGACUCCCACAUUUGAAUGGGCAUUCAGAAACUUUAUUGACUUGAUGGACGGGAAACAUCCUACUACUAUAUUGACAGAUCAAUGCAAAGCUAUGCAAAAUGCUUUACGAAGUACAAUGCCCCACACCCGUCAUAGGUGGUGCAGAUGGCAUGUGUUAAAGGUCUUGAAAGAGAAAAUUGGACACGUGUACAACAAACAUUCUGCCUUCAAGAAGGAAUUCCACGCGAUAGUAAAUGAAGAGACGGAUGUAGAAUCAUUUGAGCGAAAGUGGCAUCAAUUGAUUAAAAAAUACAAAAACUUCAAGGAAACAAGUACCUUCGCAGGAUUUUCAAGUGGAGGGACAUGUGGGCAAUGCCAUACUUCAUGGGCACAUUCUGUGCCGGGAUGACCGGCACGCAACGGAGCGAGAGUGCGAAUCAUCUCCUCAAAAAGUUCAUCAGCAGAUCAUCCCCAAUGCACUUGUUUGUUAAGCAGUACAACAAAUUGCUUGAUUCCAGGAGCCAGGCAGAAGACGAGGCAAAUUAUGUCAGACACGCAGGCGGCUUGUAAUUGGCGCUACUAUCGAGAUAGAUGCAGCGGCUGUGUACACGAAGGCCUUGUACGAAAAAUUUUCACACGAACUUUUUAGAUCAGGCUCAUUUGAUGCACGCCGUUCCAAGCCUGGACACGUCUACAAGGUCAAAUUGUCGCCGCAACUAGCCUUAACUGAUUAUGACAAAAAGGUAUUCACCGUCAAAGUGGAAGACGGUGGGGACUUUGUCACAUGUGAUUGUGGAUUUUUUGAUCAUGUCGGCCUGUUGUGCUGCCAUUCAUUAAAGGUAUUAGUUCAGAACAAUAUUGGCAAGAUUCCACCAAGGAAUAUAGUCAAAAGAUGGACUUUAUGGGCAAGGGAAUCGAGACCACUGCACCUGGCAAACGAGGGUGAAAUGGGGGAGCUGUCUUCCCAAAUUACGUAUAGAAGAAAUGUUCUAUAUGUGGCUGCUAUGGACCUUAUCAAGGAGGCAGAAUCCGAGUCUGAGUCAUUCCAAACGGCGUUCGCAGCUAUAUGUGAGGCAAAAGAAAAAAUUGCAAGUAAGAAGGCUUCAGAUAUGCUUAUUGAUACUAUCGCCGAACAAGCAAAUCCUGUCCGGCAUACCAUAACUGAUGUUGGGUCAGAAACCCAACUUCUUCCUGCACAACGUGUGCUGUCUAAAGGACGACCUAGCUCCCUUCGCCCAAAGAGUCGUAUGGAUUACAUUGUGGCUAAGAAAGCUAGAAAACACUACAAGGACGGCCCAUGCCAUGCUCAUGAAGAUACUGCCGGUCCAAUGCCACCCCCUCCAUCCAAAAAAAAGAUUGUGAAGUGUAGCCUAUGCAAGAUUCCGGGGCACACAAAGGGUAAUUGCACUGCUAGGGGAGUCCGAGCGCAAAUGUUCUCAUGUGGUUAUGCAAGUUUAUGUUCAGUGUCACUUCAUUUAACCUGUAGCGUCCUUGGUGUACUAUGUUUUGUACUGUAUUUUAUUUUUACAUGAAUCCGUAUGUUCAUGGAUUUUUUUUUUGCGGCUCCA